AUAGUCAUUAGCUGUUAACAACUAGAUCAAGCAUAUCACAUGUUUACAUAUCCCAAUUUAAAUGUUCCUCCUAAACAACUAUAUGAUAUUCUUAAAGAAAACAUCAUUUAAACUGAAACGAUGUAGAUUCGAAGAGAAUUUUAUUUUGUAGUGCCAUUAUUUCUGUUACAUUUCUGAAAGACAAUUUGAGAGCCUCAGACUUACUCGGUACGACACUGGCAUUUGCAGGAACAUAUUUACUGGUGAACUUUGCUCCAAAUAUAACUCAGGCAAUCUCAGCAAGAACAGUACAGUAUUACCUUGUCGGAUGGCAGUUCCUGAUCUAUGUGACAGAUGUCUGUUUUUCCUUCAAGAUUUACAUUAAAUGGAAGCCUCACAGAGACAAGGCUCAGGAGCUUUUCCUCUGAUCUGGUACAGAAAAGAAAGGAAGGAAGAUUUGAGAAGCCCAGUGUAUACCAGCCAGAGGAGAAUAAAGUGCACUCACUAAAACAGCCUUUCCCAGCCUGUCUGCUGCAGACGGGCAAUCCCCAUCCUUGCCAAAACGCAAAGAGGAGUGGAGUUUUCAAGGUCAAACUAGAUUUCAGAAAUAUUAAUUUUCUGCAUUCUCCUGUAUUUCUAUAAAAGAAAAGGAAUGAAGCAUAUGGUGAUUCUGCUGACCCUGGUGGCAAUUCUAGCCUCAUUGACUGUUAUUUCAGUAAAGGCCGUCUCAGGCAUGAUCACUUUUUCUAUGAUGGAUAAAAUGCAACUAACUUACCCCAUUUUCUAUAUCAUGUUUAUCAUCAUGAUAGCAUCUUGUGUUUUCCAAGUCAAGUUCCUGAAUCAAGCCACGAAACUCUACAAUACAACAACAGUGGUGCCAGUUAAUCAUAUUUUCUUUACAAUCAGUGCCAUCAUUGCAGGUAUCAUAUUUUAUCAGGAAUUCCUUGGUGCUGCUUUUCUCACUGUAUUUAUAUAUCUUUUUGGGUGUUUUCUGUCAUUCCUUGGUGUAUUUUUGGUCACAAGAAAUCGAGAAAAGGAACAUCUGCAACAGUCUUAUAUUGAUUUUGGAAAUAUUCCUGGGAAACAAAUGUUGGACAAAAUACAACCAGAUUCACAUAGCUUAUCCUAUGGAACUUUGCCUGAUGGAAGUGACUCAACAAAGAGCCAAAGUGGAGAGAAGAAAGAGGUCUAAAUGCUGAGAGGGAUGGCUGUUGGCCUGUUAUUCGAUACCACCUUUUUAAAAAAUUGCAUAUGUUCAAUUUGUGUCAGCAGCUCUUUUAUAAGCUGACAUGUGCUAGCAUUCAUUUCAGUCCUUUCCCCCACCUCAGCUUCUAUGGACAAUCGGGGACUUCCUAAGCUCUGACAGUCUAAUAUUUCCAUGGAAUGUGAUUUGGAGUGUUCCCCACACCCUG
RNAcentral lists this small RNA (1391 nucleotides) under Pan troglodytes (chimpanzee). RNAcentral's name for it is "processed transcript". Lineage: Eukaryota; Metazoa; Chordata; Mammalia; Primates; Hominidae. The record is from RNAcentral.